CCUACGGGUGGCAGCAGUGAGGAAUAUUGGUCAAUGGGCGCGAGCCUGAACCAGCCAAGUAGCGUGAAGGAUGACUGCCCUACGGGUUGUAAACUUCUUUUAUAAAGGAAUAAAGUGAGGCACGUGUGCCUUUUUGUAUGUACUUUAUGAAUAAGGAUAGGCUAACUCCGUGCCAGCAGCCGCGGUAAGACGGAGGAGCCGAGCGUUAUCCGGAUUUAUUGGGUUUAAAGGGAGCGUAGAUGGGUUGUUAAGUCAGUUGUGAAAGUGUGCGGCUUAAACGUAAAAUUGCAAUUGAUACUGGUAGUCUUGAGUAUAGUUGAGGUAGGCGGAAUGCGUGGUGUAGCGGUGAAAUGCAUAGAUAUCACGAAGAACUCCGAUUGCGAAGGCAGCUUACUAAACAGCCACUGACGUUGAGGCGCGAAAGUGUGGGUAUCAAACAGGAUUAGAUACCCCGGUAGUC
RNAcentral lists this ribosomal RNA (460 nucleotides) under uncultured bacterium. RNAcentral's name for it is "partial 16S ribosomal RNA". It matches the Rfam family "Bacterial small subunit ribosomal RNA", at positions 338 to 795 of the family's 1533-position model. The record is from RNAcentral.